GGGUGUACGGAGAGAGGCUUCAUAUGAGUGUACAGGCAUGGCCGACUUUGAAGCCAGUAGCCCAGACCCCUCGCCGCAGCCGCCAGCAUGCUCAGUUACAGGUACACACAGCCACUUUCAGAUUUGAGGAGCGGAGCCAGAGGCGGAUUUGCCGCUAUGUACCCAAGACACUCCCUUGGGGCCCGGCUAGUACCAGGGGCCCGGCCGCGGCAUCCGCCGAUGAUAGAACAGCGCUGCACAUUAAAAGUACAUCUGUGCAGGCCAGGCCCCAGCAGGCUGUCGGCGCACAUGAUCGGACAGCUGCCGCUGGAAGCCUGCACCUGCUCGCCCACAUUAUGCUCCGUCAGUCACAGACAGAGCGGAUUUUAUGAUGAGCGAUAGAGGUGGUCGUCCUGCUGUCACACAUAAUUGAUCACAGGCACUGCCUCACUUGGCCUCCAGGAGCCGACCGCCGCCUCUCCGUCUCCUUUGAGAGUUCUCUGGCAGAAUCAGGGAGGCGCCGCCAGCAGGAUUCUGGACGUGCGGCCCCCUCCCUCAGCAGCCGCUUCAGACUGACAGUCUUCUCCAAGUUGCCGCCAGGUCAUGCACUGCCUGGACCUCCUCCACAGCACGGCUCUCCUCUCUACAGUGGGCCUGCUAUGUUCCCUAACAGGAGACCCGGCCAGCACAGCUCGUCUCUCUAGCAGGCCUCUCACGGUCAGUGAGUCCCCUUUCAUAAAUUCUCCUCUGGGGACUCAGUGGCGCACGCAGGGGGGGUUUCCGAGUACCUGGAAACCCCCCCUGAUGAGCCGAGUUAUCUUUUUGAGACAGAGACACAGGAGACACAGCUGAAAAAAAAAAAAAAAAAAAAAAAGACGCGAUCGCGGGGUGCGGAGCUGCAGCAACUACAGAAAGCUAAAGGCCAGUACUCACGGCCCGAUGCAGCUCUCUGCUUACAGUCAUGAAUGUCCCGGGGCCGGCAGCUCCCUCCGUCCUCACACAUUCGCCCCUCUGCUUCCAGCCCACUGUGUACACUAUAUAAGUCCUAGGACAUAGAGGCACAGACCGCACUUCAGCAGCACAAUUUAGAGAACCAGUCCUCCACCAAGGUACCAGUAGCACAGCAAUGGCGCCUGGGAUCACUCUAAAGAAGGAUGGCCAUCGGUGUACACCUCCAUGCCUGUUCCUGCUCCUUCUCAUCAGGGGUGUGAGGGGAACCAUUGAUCUGCAGUCAUACAAGCAAUGCAUGCUGACAGGAGUCGUAGAAGAACGCUCACAGCAGAAGAGCCGGUGACAGGCAGGGGAAAGACAACCUGCCAGUAUCUGUGGAAAACAGCGCUCCUCAGGAGAGAGAGCAGAUCUAGAGAGCUCGAGCACAUUGUGAAGGGCCAAAGUCCAGGGGUAUCACUUACUGUGGCUCCGUAGUGAUCCAGUCCCAAAGCAGUGGUUCCCCUGGAGAGAGAACUAGGGCAUAUCCUUACUUUGAGUAAUUGCAGUAACUAAGAACUACAGUGCAAGUGACAUUGAGGAGAGUGAUGCUGUGUCAGAGUACAGGGAGACAGUUAUCCUCCCCUGGGAGUCAGCCGUGGUAAGUAGCAUUGGAGAGACCCAAGGUUCCAUAUGCUCAGAGAUGAAACGUUGAUCCACCCGCCCCUGAGACUGUGAAGAACUUAGGUGAUAUGCAGGAGUUGAUAUGAAGAUUCUGCUGAAUGAGCACCAACCAAAUCAGCCUCGUCAGAAGCAGAGGAUGACAUGUCACAGUUUAGAAAGAUUUUUAUUAAUGAUCGUUGAAAACUGCCAAGAUCACUUGUCUAGUGUAGAACCAAAUACAUUCUACUAUAGUAUAUUCACCACGGAAUGUCACCAAGCCAUCCACCACAUGCACUAAUACAUUAAAGUUACCCCAACUAUUCUCAAACCUGCUCCAUUCUUAUACUGUAUCUAUAUCACUGACAUACAACUAAAGUUCCUGUACAACACAUGCACAGUACAUUAGGUGUUGCUAUGAGGUUGCCUAGGGUGACAAUGGUUACGGGGUGCCUAAAACACAUGGGUGUUUUUGCUAUCCCUGUGACACUGUCACACCAAGAGCUGGUUGUGGGCACUUCUUACUCAUCAAGCCAGUAACUGCUGCUCCUCCAUGUCUGUGAUAUGUUGGGUAGGGGUGGCCAUUGGUAGUCUAGUACUGAUGGCAAAUAAAUUUUUGACCAAAUGGUUUGAAACUUUCAAUGAGUGUGGCAAUGGUCUAAUGAGCAAAAACUACCACAUUCCACUUGCUAAAGUAAGAAAGAGGUGUGCAAAGGCCUAUGGUGUGCUGAUGCCUUGAGUAGGAGUGCAUCAAAAAAUGCACUUCUGUACGGGAUGUAGUUGACAUCCUGGCAUUCAGGAUCCCAGCUUUCAGAAUACUGGUGCCAGAAUCCCGACAGCUGUCAGAAGGCUGACACUGAAAUCAGGACAGCCGAAAUCCAGAACAUAAGUAUGCCGGGAGGGUUAGG
This is a long non-coding RNA of Pseudophryne corroboree (corroboree frog), 2474 nucleotides long. RefSeq lists it as uncharacterized. NCBI's taxonomy places the organism in Eukaryota, Metazoa, Chordata, Amphibia, Anura, Myobatrachidae. The transcript is spliced from 6 exons. The record is from RefSeq and is a predicted model, not a curated record.